Molecule: long non-coding RNA, 209 nt
Filed under: Gossypium barbadense (sea-island cotton)
Lineage: Eukaryota; Viridiplantae; Streptophyta; Magnoliopsida; Malvales; Malvaceae
Description: long non-coding RNA (GBAR_LNC007304)
Source: RNAcentral
AAUUUUCUUAUUUUCCUUUUUAAUAAAUAAUUUAGGGUAUAUUUUCGGGAUUAGUAUGUUUAAAUAAAUUAUGUCUAAGAGAUUGGAACUUAAGCGGGACCGCUUGUGACCCCUCCAAUCUUUCUUGGGGAUUGAUUGUAACAGAAUUUUUCGAGAAAUUAUUCCCUAAAUAAAAUUAAAUUUUUGGUUUUUCAAAUAAAAAGGGUCAA